RNAcentral lists this unclassified non-coding RNA (405 nucleotides) under soil metagenome. RNAcentral's name for it is "partial contains 5.8S ribosomal RNA, internal transcribed spacer 2, and large subunit ribosomal RNA". The stretch from base 1 to 122 matches the Rfam family "5.8S ribosomal RNA", at positions 35 to 154 of the family's 154-position model. The record is from RNAcentral.
GAUGAAGAACGCAGCAAAAUGCGAUACUUGGUGUGAAUUGCAGAAUCCCGUGAACCAUCGAGUGUUUGAACGCAAGUUGCGCCCGAAGCCUUUUGGCCGAGGGCACGUCUGCCUGGGCGUCACGCAUCGCGUCGCUCCCCACAAAUUCUCCGUCAGGGGAGCUUGUGUUUCGGGGGCGGAUACUGGUCUCCCGUGCUCAUGGCGCGGUUGGCCGAAAUAGGAGUCCCUUCGAUGGACGCACGAACUAGUGGUGGUCGUAAAAACCCUCGUCUUUUGUUUCGUGCCGUUAGUCGCGAUGGAAGCUCUUCAAAAACCCCAACGCGUCGUCUCUUGACGGCGCUUCGACCGCGACCCCAGGUCAGGCGGGACUACCCGCUGAGUUUAAGCAUAUCAAUAAGCGGAGGA